UACGUAGGGUGCAAGCGUUAUCCGGAAUUAUUGGGCGUAAAGAGCUCGUAGGCGGACUGUCACGUCUGCUGUGAAAAGCUAGGGCUUAACCCUGGCCUUGCAGUGGAUACGGGCAGACUAGAGGUAGGUAGGGGAGAAUGGAAUUCCCGGUGUAGCGGUGAAAUGCGCAGAUAUCAGGAGGAACACCGAUGGCGAAGGCAGGUCUCUGGGCAUUAACUGACGCUGAGGAGCGAAAGCAUGGGGAGCGAACAGG
Molecule: ribosomal RNA, 253 nt
Filed under: uncultured bacterium
Lineage: Bacteria
Description: partial 16S ribosomal RNA
Rfam family: Bacterial small subunit ribosomal RNA
Source: RNAcentral